AAAAACAUGUCCUUUUGUUUUUAUAUAAGGUCUGACCUGCCCAAUGAUUAUUAUUUAAUGGCCGCGGUAUUUUAACUGUGCUAAGGUAGCAUAAUCAUUUGUCUUUUAAUUGAAGGCUGGUAUGAAUGGUUGGACGAGGCAUAGCCUUUCUUUAAUUUAAUUUAUGAACUUAAUUUUUUAGUUAAAAAGCUAAAAUUUAUUUGUUGGACGAGAAGACCCUAUAGAUCUUUAUAUUUAAUUUUAGUUAAGUAAUUUGGUUUAUUUAUUACUUUAAUUAAUUUAAGUAUUUGGUUGGGGUGACUGUAGAAUUUUAUUAACUUCUAUUUUUAUUUUUCAUUAAUUUAUGUAUUUUUGAUCCAUUAUUAGUGAUUAUAAGAUUAAGUUACCUUAGGGAUAACAGCGUAAUUUUUUUGGAGAGUUCAUAUCGAUAAAGAAGUUUGCGACCUCGAUGUUGGAUUAAAGUAAGUGGUAAGUGUAGCAGCUUAUUAACUAGGUCUGUUCGACCUUUAAUUUUUUACAUGAUCUGAGUUC
Molecule: ribosomal RNA, 531 nt
Filed under: Apiomerus flaviventris
Lineage: Eukaryota; Metazoa; Arthropoda; Insecta; Hemiptera; Reduviidae
Description: partial 16S ribosomal RNA
Rfam family: Bacterial large subunit ribosomal RNA
Source: RNAcentral